RNAcentral lists this ribosomal RNA (253 nucleotides) under uncultured bacterium. RNAcentral describes it as "partial 16S ribosomal RNA". It matches the Rfam family "Bacterial small subunit ribosomal RNA", at positions 524 to 776 of the family's 1533-position model. The record is from RNAcentral.
UACGGAGGAUGCAAGCGUUAUCCGGAAUGAUUGGGCGUAAAGCGUCCGCAGGUGGCAAUGUAAGUCUGCUGUCAAAGCGCCUGGCUCAACCAGAUAAAGGCAGUGGAAACUACAUAGCUAGAGUAAGGUAGGGGUAGAGGGAAUUCCUGGUGUAGCGGUGAAAUGCGUAGAGAUCAGGAAGAACACCGGUGGCGAAAGCGCUCUGCUGGACCUUAACUGACACUGAGGGACGAAAGCUAGGGGAGCGAAUGGG